GGGGGUAUAGCUCAGUGGUUAGAGCACCCGCAUACGUAUCGGAAGGUCGGGGGUUCGACCCCCUCUGCCUCCA
RNAcentral lists this transfer RNA (73 nucleotides) under Pristionchus pacificus. It matches the Rfam family "tRNA". From Rfam's summary of the family: Transfer RNA (tRNA) molecules are approximately 80 nucleotides in length. Their secondary structure includes four short double-helical elements and three loops (D, anti-codon, and T loops). The record is from Rfam by way of RNAcentral. Lineage: Eukaryota; Metazoa; Nematoda; Chromadorea; Rhabditida; Neodiplogasteridae.